Molecule: ribosomal RNA, 520 nt
Filed under: uncultured Glomus
Lineage: Eukaryota; Fungi; Glomeromycota; Glomeromycetes; Glomerales; Glomeraceae
Description: SSU rRNA
Rfam family: Eukaryotic small subunit ribosomal RNA
Source: RNAcentral
AGCAGCCGCGGUAAUUCCAGCUCCAAUAGCGUAUAUUAAAGUUGUUGCAGUUAAAAGCUCGUAGUUGAAUUUCGGGGUUAGUAGGUUGGCCAUGCCUCUGGUAUGUACUGGUCUCACUGAUUCCUCCUUCCUGAUGAACCGUAAUGCCAUUAAUUUGGUGUUGCGGGGAAUCUGGACUGUUACUUUGAAAAAAUUAGAGUGUUAAAGCAGGCUAACGCUUGAAUACAUUAGCAUGGAAUAAUGAAAUAGGACGUUCGAUCCUAUUUUGUUGGUUUCUAGGAUUGACGUAAUGAUUAAUAGGGAUAGUUGGGGGCAUUAGUAUUCAAUUGUCAGAGGUGAAAUUCUUGGAUUUAUUGAAGACUAACUACUGCGAAAGCAUUUGCCAAGGAUGUUUUCAUUAAUCAAGAACGAAGUUAGGGGAUCGAAGACGAUCAGAUACCGUCGUAGUCUUAACCAUAAAACUAUGCCGACUAGGGAUCGGAUGAUGUUAAUUUUUUAAUGACUCAUUCGGCGCCUUAUC